RNAcentral lists this ribosomal RNA (170 nucleotides) under uncultured Bifidobacterium sp. Its description in RNAcentral is "partial 16S ribosomal RNA". It matches the Rfam family "Bacterial small subunit ribosomal RNA", at positions 355 to 534 of the family's 1533-position model. The record is from RNAcentral. Lineage: Bacteria; Bacillati; Actinomycetota; Actinomycetes; Bifidobacteriales; Bifidobacteriaceae.
UGGGGAAUAUUGCGCAAUGGGCGCAAGCCUGAUGCAGCGACGCCGCGUGCGGGAUGGAGGCCUUCGGGUUGUAAACCGCUUUUGUUUGGGAGCAAGCCCUUCGGGGUGAGUGUACCUUUCGAAUAAGCACCGGCUAACUACGUGCCAGCAGCCGCGGUAAUACGUAGGUG